AGAGCCCCGGCGAUCAGCACCGCGAUGCCGGCCUUCAGGAGGCGGCCGGUGGCUGCAGGUUUCACGGCAACGGCGGAGUAGGCCUACGGAGGAGGAUGGACGCACACAGAGGGCAGGUCGUGUUACAAGCUGCUGACACUGCACACGACCCCUUAGAGACUUUUGUAAAAUCAAAAUCAAAUAAAAAGACGUGAACCCAUUUAUCAGAUGGUGGAUCCAAAACUUUGAUGAUACAUUUAUAGGGACACAUGGCCUCCUGGGUGAAGAAGAAGAGAAACGGCUUCACUAAGACACUCAAAGAGUUGAAAUCUGCAUGUGCUGCAACAUCCCACAAACCAUGUCAAUCUGGUUAAAUAUCUGUACUUUAAAGUAGUCCAGUGCCAAAGUAUCACCUGUCAGGGACAUUAACCAUUGGUGUCAACAUAUCCUCAUUUGCUUAGAAUUUAGCAGCGUGUGAGUUUUAUUUUCCCUCCUUACUGUAUAUUUUCACUGAUCUAGGCUAGCACACUUACAAUACACAAUACAAAAAAAAUGUCAUUACUCGGUCUUCUUUAUCCUGAUCAGAGACAAUAAAUGCUCGUGAUGAGUUCAAAGAUUUUCAU
Long non-coding RNA from Labrus bergylta (ballan wrasse), 602 nucleotides. RefSeq lists it as uncharacterized. The record is from RefSeq and is a predicted model, not a curated record. NCBI's taxonomy places the organism in Eukaryota, Metazoa, Chordata, Actinopteri, Labriformes, Labridae.